CGCACACUGUUGUAUUUCCAGCCUCCACAGCAGCCAAGCAGCCAAGCAGCCCUUCGACAUGGAGGCAGCAGACCUGGAGGAAGUCGGACACGUUAGCAACCUGCCUGCUCUGAUGGAUCCGGACAACGAUGCUAAUAGAGUGGUUAUUGGCUAUUUUGCGUUGCUAUUUCUUGGUGCAGUGCAGCAGGAUUUCAGAGAAACCCACUGGAGACCACCUGGAAUCCACACUGAACUGGUCCUUGGUCCAGUGUGGGCCCUUGAGCCCCUCCAGCGUCACGGCACUCUGCAGGUGCCCUGGUGGAUCUUCCUUAAAAGACGAGCAGAGACAUUACCAGGCUGGAUAUGCAAUCAGCCUUAGGAAUGCCCACUGCUCUCUGUUGACCCUGCUAACCCAGUGAAAGAUUUCCUUCUACAGGCUCAAGAAAUUGCCAUGGAAGAAGAGAAACAAAUAUGGCAACAAAAAGGGGGAAUUUAUUAUUAUUAUUGUUGAGGUCAAUGAUGGUUUACAGCAUCAUGAAAUUUCAGUUGUACGUUAUUAUUUGUCAGUCACCAUAUAAGUGCGCCCCUUAACCCUUUGUGCCCAUCCACCAACCUCCUUCCCCCUGGUAACCACUAAAUGGUUCUCUUUGUCCAUGUGUUUAUCUUCCACAUAUGAGUGAAAUCAUAUGGGGUUUGUCUUUGUCUAGCUUAUUUCACUUAACAUAAUACCCUCAAGGUCCAUCCAUGUUGUUGCGA
RNAcentral lists this long non-coding RNA (735 nucleotides) under Equus caballus (horse). RNAcentral's name for it is "lncRNA (ENSECAG00000055321.1)". The record is from RNAcentral. Lineage: Eukaryota; Metazoa; Chordata; Mammalia; Perissodactyla; Equidae.